AACGUACAAACCUUAUCGAUAAACAAUUGGAGGGCAAGUCUGGUGCCAGCAGCCGCGGUAAUUCCAGCUCCAAUAGCGUAUAUUAACGUUGUUGCAGUUAAAAAGCUCGUAGUUGAAAUGAAGGGUAGUUGUGUAAUGAAUACAUUCGUGUAUUUUGUUAUUCCACUACCCUCCUUCUAAAUUCGAUAUAUGAGUAUUAAUUUACUUGUAUAUGGUUUUAGACGUUUACUGUGAGAAAAUUAGAGUGUUCAAAGCAGGCAUUUGCUUGAAUAUAUUAGCAUGGAAUAAUCAUGUAUGAUUUUCAUGAUGUAUUUGAUUGGUUUGGUUCAUGAGAAUAAGAUUAAAAGGGACAGUUGGGGGUAUUCAUAUUCAAUAGUCAGAGGUGAAAUUCUCGGAUUUAUGGAAGAUGAACAAGUGCGAAAGCAUUUACCAAGGAUGUUUUCAUUAAUCAAGAACGAAAGUUAGGGGAUCGAAGAGGAU
Molecule: ribosomal RNA, 480 nt
Filed under: Blastocystis sp. subtype 3
Lineage: Eukaryota; Bigyra; Opalinata; Blastocystidae
Description: SSU rRNA
Rfam family: Eukaryotic small subunit ribosomal RNA
Source: RNAcentral